UUUAAAGAGAUUGAAGAAGGAAGAAACGGUCCACCAGAUUUGCACUCCGACACGGUGGCUUCGUGUUGAGUGGCGUGUUGGGAUGAAGCUUUUGAGGAUUUGUGGUUAGAGUUAUGGAGGGUGGUUGGAGGGUGAUUCUGUUAUGGAGAGAGGUUGGAGAUUGAGAGUUUGGUUCGAAGAAGGUCAUGGGAGGAAUGAAGAGUUAGAGGAGGUUCUGCAGGGUGAUUAUUUAACAGGUUUUUUAUGUAGGUUUGUGAAAUGAAGAUUGCAGGGGGAUAGUUGAGAAGAAGAUGGAUUGAAGGAUGAUGAAGGGUGAGGUUCAAGAAGAGGUUAUGAGUUAGUUAGAGGUUGAAGAAGUUUUGCAGAGUGAAAAGAAAUUUGGAAGAAGUAUUGGUUAAAGGUUAGAGUAGUGAUUGGUUUUGCAGGGUUCUUAUUGGCAUUCAAUUGGAGGUUUUAGAUGAUUUGUUAUUCAGAAGGAGGGGAUUGUUCAAUUAGCAGUUAGAAGUUGUUUAAUUCUGUUAUGAGUUGGUUAUGACAGUUGGAGAAUGGAAGUUAUGAGGUUGAAGAGUUUUUUGUGAGGUUAUGAAGGAAGUUAAUUGGAAUUCGAUUAUAGGUUGGUUAGGAAGUUAGAAUUCGGUUUUGAUUUUGAACCGAAUUCUGUUUUGACUGUUAUGAGUCUGUUAUGGAACGGAUUGAAGUUGGUUAUGACAGUUGGUUCGAUUGGUGGUUUCGGUUAGUUUUCAUGGAUGCCUUUAAAGGAUCACUUGAUUGUCAUGAUAUCAUACUGAAGUAACUUGAGAUUGUGACUGGUGUCGAGGACUUGUGAGUUGGGAAUGGUGUGACUGAGACGACAACAACUUUGAUGCAUUGUGUUGCAGCUGUGGCGACAUUGGACAUUUUGGUUGCCAUAAUCAGUUCCAAGCUUUUCUAUAACAGGAAGUAUCUACUUGCACACUUCCUAGAAAAAUUGUGACAGAACUUCUCCCUAUUCAAACUUAACAAUCUUUGUUCCUUCCAAUGCUGGAGAAAAAAUAGUCCCUUCCAUUUGGUGCUUUGAACAGUGAAGAACAACGAUGAUCUGAGAGUGGCAACAAUCACAUGCGCAAGUCAUGUUUAAAGGAAAAUCACCUUAGUUAAUUAAUAUAGAAUGGCUUAUUUGUCUGGGAUUUGGGAUGAGACGAUAAAAAUAUCUUGGUGUGUUUUUGGUUCAUCGCAUUAGCUUUACAUGGAUGCUUGAGUUUUUGUAAUUUUGUAGUUUGGAUCGAAAUUAUACAUUGAAACUUGGGUGUGGAAAUAGAUCGGUUAUAUUUUACAAUGGUAAUUGAAUUGGAAAUGGUUGUUGAUAUAAGUCGAUUUGAAUGGAAUUUGGGAUCAUUUUGUAGUAUGAGUUUGGUUUAUGUAAAUAUGUUUUGAAA
This is a long non-coding RNA of Lathyrus oleraceus (garden pea), 1415 nucleotides long. RefSeq lists it as uncharacterized. The transcript is spliced from 2 exons. Lineage: Eukaryota; Viridiplantae; Streptophyta; Magnoliopsida; Fabales; Fabaceae. The record is from RefSeq and is a predicted model, not a curated record.